CUGAUCGCACAUGUUUUCUAGUAACAAGAGGUGAGCACUGUGGUCCAGCACGUGAAGCCAUCACAUGGGACACCUUGGAGUUACAGGGUGUAAUAUUCUAAAUCAGAAGAAAGAAUCUCUCCAGAGUUUCACACCUGCUCUCUGCCAAGACUUAGACUGCCACUCACUUGUAGAUUAAAAGUUUCACCUCUGAAAGAAGCCAAAAACGCUGUCUCCGAAACACUUCUUUACAAACACUUUCUACUGAAGCCUUCAAAAGGACUCUUACAGUGACCUGAACUACUAGAAAGUCAUGAAACCUAAGCAUUUCCUAAGUAUUUUUGCAUCACUUGUAAAGUAUGGUUUAUGAUCCUUGGAGUUUUACCAAAUC
Long non-coding RNA from Ochotona princeps (American pika), 370 nucleotides. RefSeq lists it as uncharacterized. The transcript is spliced from 3 exons. The record is from RefSeq and is a predicted model, not a curated record. NCBI's taxonomy places the organism in Eukaryota, Metazoa, Chordata, Mammalia, Lagomorpha, Ochotonidae.